This 253-nucleotide ribosomal RNA is filed under the name uncultured bacterium. Its description in RNAcentral is "partial 16S ribosomal RNA". It matches the Rfam family "Bacterial small subunit ribosomal RNA", at positions 524 to 776 of the family's 1533-position model. The record is from RNAcentral.
UACGAAGGGGGCUAGCGUUGCUCGGAAUCACUGGGCGUAAAGCGCACGUAGGCGGAUUGCUAAGUCAGGGGUGAAAUCCUGGAGCUCAACUCCAGAACUGCCUUUGAUACUGGCGAUCUUGAGUCCGGGAGAGGAGAGUGGAACUGCGAGUGUAGAGGUGAAAUUCGUAGAUAUUCGCAAGAACACCAGUGGCGAAGGCGGCUCACUGGCCCGGUACUGACGCUGAGGUGCGAAAGCGUGGGGAGCAAACAGG